GCUAUCACUUCCUAGACUAGUAUGUCAACAGAACAAAAAUAAUUUCAGAUAAAAAGGUAAUGGACUGAUGUUGCACCAGGUGUAGAAGGUUUACAAUUUUAUAUGUUAUACUAUAAGCAGUCAACUGAAAUUUUUGAAUGAUUGCCUUUUGAUCAAUUAUUAAGUCUGCAUACCACCACAAGAUGUGGAAGAGAGCCAAAGAUAAACUAUUUAGCAACGAAGACAGCACGGAUGGGGGUGGAAGUGCUGCGAAUCUUGAGAACAGUGAUCCUGAGUUGUGUAUCCAACUACUCCGAAUCCCAUCUAUUCAAAACUACAGCGGACUGAAAAAAAGAAUUACGACCGCAGAUCCAGAAUGGAUGCAAAACUUCCUCGAGAUGGACGGCUUAGACGUGUUGCUAAGCACAUUGGAACGACUGUCCGAUCAUAAAUCCUCAGGAAUCGCUAAUGCGUAUCUACAGCUUGGAAUUGUAGGUGUUAUCAAAGCUAUUUUAAACUCGAAAACUGGCAUGGAAUUUAUUGUAGAUAAUCCAGAAAUGACGCGCAAAUUAGGACGUGCCCUUGAUACGAAGAAUGAGAUGGUCAAAAUACAACUUAUUGAGUUGCUAUCAGCUUUGUGUGUUCACUCGAGCAGUGGAUACACAUUGGCUAUAGAUUCAUUGGAACAUUAUAAGAUCACAAAACAACAACGCUACCGAUUUAGCUUCAUGGUCAACGAGUUAAAGCAAGAUGUUAUCAUCCCGUACAAAGCAUCAUUGGUCAGUUUCAUCAACGCCAUUCUUAUAUCGACGGAGGAUUUUGAUGAACGCAUUAGGCUACGAAACGAGUUUAUUGGGUUAAAGCUUCUUGAUAUCCUGACCCAGCUAAGACUGGACAUAGACUCAAGGGAUCUUGAUAAAGACCACCCAGACUUGACCAUCCAACUUGACGUGUUUGAUGAUCAUAAAGAGCAAGAUGACGGGGAAUUGCAACAUCCAGAUGGAAUUGACCUCAACAGCCCUGUACAUGUCUUUGAUGCAGUCUUUAAAAGAGUCUGUGAAAGCCCCCAAGCAGCCAGUCUGUUAGCGAUUCUGCAGGACUUGUUUCUACUUGAUAUGGACAAUGAAAAUACAGAUGCGAUCUGGCACCUGAUAGAGGUGCUAGUCAGAAAAGCGGUACAAAUGGACCAAGAUGAGAUCAUGAAGGUUUUUACUGAACAUAAGAAUCAUGUAGUUGCUAUGCUACCACCCAAGAAAUUUGUGAGAAAGCAGGGAAAAACAGAUGAUGAAAAAUUAGCUUCCAAAAAACCAUGCAAAAUUGGCAGUACACAGACUGAUAUUAAAGUGUUUAUGCGUGCAGAGGCUGCGUCGCAGACUACAGGAGAACCACAGACAAAUACUGCUAGCCCUACACCAGCAAUUCCACCACCACCACCUCCAUCAAGCAUUUGUAUUCCUCCACCGCCUCCGCCACCACCACCACCAGGAGGUAUGGUGCCACCUCCGCCACCACUUCCUGGUGCUGGAGUACCUCCACCACCACCACCACCAUUCCCUGGUGCUGGUGUACCUCCACCACCACCAUUCCCUGGUGCUGGUGUACCUCCUCCUCCACCACUUCCUGGUGGUGGUGGUGUUCCACCACCACCACCUUUCCCAGGUGGUGGCGCUCCACCACCACCACCACCAUUCCCGGGUGGUGGUGCUCCUCCACCUCCACCACCAGGCGGUUGGAUAACGCCUCAGGUAGCUUCAACUAAUUUUGCAACUCCCGUACCCAGGCCAAGCAAGAAACUGAAAGUUGUCAACUGGGUGAAGAUCAAGCCAACCGAACUACAACGCCAGGCCUCGCAUGCUGACAAACAGAAUGUAUGGAUAAAAGUAAAGGAAAAGGAAUCUCCUUUGACUCCAGACUAUGAGGUUUUAGAAGAGCUUUUCUGUCAAGCGCCGAAGGUUGAGAAGAAAACUGACGAAAAGAAAAAGAAGGCACCAACAGAGAUAAAUUUACUUGACGGUAAGCGUAGUCUGAACAUCAACAUAUUCCUGAAACAGUUCCGCAAACCAAACGAGGUCAUUAUCGACAUUAUAAAGAAUGGUGACAGCAAAAGCUUUGGGUCUGACCGACUCAAAGCCCUUCAAAAAUUACUUCCAGAAAAAGAUGAGUUGUCCAUGCUGAAGUCAUUUGAUGGUGAUGAGACAAAGCUUGGUUCUGCAGAGAAGUUCCUGCUUAUGCUGUCAAAUCUGAAGAAUUAUAAACUGCGAAUAGAAGGAAUGCUACUGAAAGAGGAUUUUUCUGAAAAGAUUGAGUACUUAAGACCAUCAUUACAUACUAUACAUAAUGCCUGUGAUGAUAUCUUAAGCAGUGAAACUAUUGAAGAAUUUCUUGUUCUUAUCUUGAAUAUUGGUAAUUUCAUGAACUCCGGUUGCUAUGCUGGUAACGCAGCUGGUUUCAAAGUCUCCUCCUUACUGAAGUUAAUCGACACGAAAGCCAAUAAACCGAGAAUGAAUUUAAUGCACUAUAUUGUUGAAAGAGCGGAAGAACAAAACAGAGGCAUGCUUGACUUUCCAGAUGAGAUGGAGAGUUUACAUGAUGCUUGCAGACUGUCAAUUGAUUCACUGAAGUCUGAAGUAAACCAAUUGGGUAAAAGCCUUGAGAAACUAGACAAACAGAUUUCAAAAGCUUCAAAAGACAUCAAGGAACAAUUCAAGGCCUUUACAAAGAAAUCAGAAAAGGAGGUUGACAUGCUAAAGCAAGACAUCAAACAAAUUGAAAAGCAGAGUGCAGAGCUUUGCGAGUUCUUUAUGGAAGAUCCGUCCAAAUUCAAACUGCAGGACUUCUUGGGAGUCGUAAAAAUAUUUGCUGAACGAGUAAAACAAUGCCAACAGGAAAAUGAAAAAAGGCGAAAGCUUGAAGAGAAACAAAAGCGAAGACAGGAGGAAAAACAAAGACAAUUAAAAGAAGGUGGAGGGAGAAAAGUUGGCAAAAUCCCAAUUGCUCAAGAAGAAGAUGGGAACAUUGUCGAUAAUUUGUUGGCAGAUAUCCGUAAGGGUUUCCAGUUAAAAAGGCUAAGCCUUACUGACAAAACACUACUGAAGAAAAGGCCUUCAUUGAGGGUGAAAUCACCCACUUCCCCUAGAGUAAUGUCAUUCAAAGGAAACAUUGAACCAAGUGAAGAUUGGGUAGAUAUAACUUUACCUACAACGAUGGAAGAAAUACCAAAUGGAAACACAGCAACAGAAAGUGUUGAACCAAAGCAGCAGAAAUUAGAAGUUGAAACAGUGGUUAGCAAAGUUGAACCAAAGCAAAGUGUGUUGGAAUUAAAUCCACCCAAUGAGAUAAAUGAAAUAGCAAAUGGGCAAGCAGUAAUAAAUGGAUUUGAUCACUCAGACCCUGAAGACACAACCAAUCAAGCAAUAACUAUGGCUGAUUCACAAAAAAUAGAAACUGAAAUAAACUCAUCUCAAUUAGUCAAAGAUGAACCCGUUGAAAAAACUGCCCAGCCAGAAGAAAAAUUGCUAUCAAUAAGUACAGUUGAUCCAGAACAAAUAGAAAUUGAAUUCAACUCAUCUCAGAUAGUCAAAGAUGAAUCAGUUGAAAAACCUAUGCAGCCAGAAAAAGAAAAUUUAUCUACAAUUGACCACAUUAUUCUUGAGUCUGAAAGUAUGAACACUAAUGGCUUCCAUGAUCCUAACGCUAAUGAUAUUAAAACGUCUCAAGGACAAGUAGAAAGUGAACGUAGGAAAUCUGACGACGAUCAAAAUGCAAGACCUGAAUCAUCGGCAUCCUCAGCAUCUGCAAACACUGUAAUUGAGGUGUUUCCAAAAACACCAGAAAAAACUCAGAAAGUCCGUCCCACGAAUAUACAACCUACCGCAAAAGACAAUAUGAAAAGGUUGAACCUUGAAUUGGAACAACGUUUUACCUCUUCAAAACCAAACAGUACGUCUGUGGUACAGAUAAAUAGGAGCUCUGGUGAAAGUGAACUUAGUGAUAUUGGAAAAGAGGAGGGAACACAUUUUGAUCCUUGGGUUCAGAUGACUACAGAACAGCCUAAAAUCAAAAGGGACUCUUCAAAGAAAAUUCACUUUGCAGAUGAUAAUAGAAAUGAAUCAGAAAAGGAUACACCGAUAUCGGUUGUCAAAACCACAACUGAUCCAUCAGAGAUUGCCACAACUGGGGAAGCAUCACCCGAACUUUCCGAAUCAAAUGAAGCUACACGAAAACAGUCAAAAAAAGCACGAAAAGGGUCAAAGAAACAAAGCAUAAGUGAACAAGAACUACAUAUUGAAGAUGAUAAGGAUAAGCGUCGUAACAGCAGACUUUUCCGCUCGCUAAAUUUCAUGCGCAAAAAGCGGAAAAUGUCGAACCAGGAUGACAAAAACCAUAAAGCUGUUAAAAGAUCAAACAGUGCAAAACAUGGGGUUGAGUAUGAGCCGCCCUCUAUGUCCUCUUCUUCAAGUUUGGCAGCUGACGCAGAAUACAUUCCACCUUCCCAAGUUGGCAAGAAAGUUGGGUUUCUCGCAGGUUUGAUUUCCAGGAAAAGUCCUGAGAAGCGGCACGGGAGAAAAGUGAUAACGAAAGAAAAACCCAGUGAAGAGAUAGAAUUAAAAGACGAAAAGAAAAAACUGAAGGAAAAGAGAAAGAAUAGUAAAUUAGAUAGUUAACAAGAAUGGUAAAUUAAUGAAUAAAAUUAGUAAUGAAUAAAAUGUUUAAAAUCUUGUAUUUUUUUUUUUUUGCAAGAGUCUGUAAUGUGAAAGACAAAAUGAGUGAGUGUUUCAUCACAUGAAUUAUCAAUAUGUAUGUAAUUUUUAACUGUGGUGGAGGUUAAAUUGUGUGUUUAAGUACUAACUUUUAUCUUUGCAACAAUAUCAUGUUGACGUAUUUUUAAAAAUAUGGAUUUUUAUAACAUUUUUAAGUAUUGUAACAUGUAUGUGUAACCUAAGCAUUGUACUUUAAUAUUUCAAAAUAUGUGAUUGUUUUAAUCGCAGAUGGUUAUGGCUGUCAGUGACCUUGGUGUGACUCGGACUUCUUAUAAGCCUAUGAGAAAAGAUUUAAGAUGUAAAACAGGCAUAAGUUUGGAUAACCUUAACAUGAAUUUUAUUGUUUUAUCGAUAGGCCUAUUAUACUCGGAAAACCACUAAUUAAAUAAAUGAAUUUGCAAUAGGGAUAUUAUAAAGUACACAGAUAACAAAGACUAUGAAUUUGAAUACUGGUAUUGUUUAAUAAUGUAAUAAAAUUGGUAGUUAUACCGCA
This is an RNA transcript of Anneissia japonica, 5232 nucleotides long. It is a transcript of the gene named inverted formin-2-like, with no coding region annotated. The record is from RefSeq and is a predicted model, not a curated record. Lineage: Eukaryota; Metazoa; Echinodermata; Crinoidea; Comatulida; Comatulidae. The transcript is spliced from 19 exons.